RNAcentral lists this ribosomal RNA (386 nucleotides) under uncultured bacterium. Its description in RNAcentral is "bacterial SSU rRNA". It matches the Rfam family "Bacterial small subunit ribosomal RNA", at positions 28 to 416 of the family's 1533-position model. The record is from RNAcentral.
GACGAACGCUGGCGGCGUGCUUAACACAUGCAAGUCGAGCGGUAAGGCCCUUUCGGGGGUACACGAGCGGCGAACGGGUGAGUAACACGUGGGUGACCUGCCUUUAGCUCUGGGAUAAGCCUGGGAAACUGGGUCUAAUACCGGAUACGACUCCGCGGUGCAUGCUGUGGGGUGGAAAGCCUUGUGCGGCUGGAGAUGGGCCCGCGGCCUAUCAGCUUGUUGGUGGGGUGAUGGCCUACCAAGGCGACGACGGUAGCCGGCCUGAGAGGGCGACCGGCCACACUGGGACUGAGACACGGCCCAGACUCCUACGGGAGGCAGCAGUGGGGAAUCUUGCGCAAUGGGCGAAAGCCUGACGCAGCGACGCCGCGUGCGGGAAGAAGGCC